CCUCAGCCAAGAGGGGUGCCUCACACAUGCCCCUGCAUGGGAGGAGGUGGGCUCACUCUCCAGCAGACAGACAAACAGAAAUGGCCCCAGGGAACAGGUGAAGGUUCUGAGGUCUGGGGUUAUGCUCUCCUCUAAGCAAGGUGCUCCUGCCUCUCGUCUGACCUCAGGGCCUGCACUCGCCACUGAAACCCUCAGGGCCCUGGUGCUGCCCACCCACCCCCUUCAGGAGCACUCACAGGGCCAAAGCCACCUCCAGCGCCCAGGUGAUUGGGGUGCUGCUCUGGGUCGAACAUGUGGAUCUGGGAUUGGGGGAUCUGGCUGGUGGAGAGACGCCAGGGUUCCGAGAGCACCUGCAAUGGAGGCCGCAGCUGGUCAGAGGCCACAAAGCACCUGUCCAACACGUGUCUGCGACCUACUCUGAGCCAGACACGGUUCUGCUGAGGGUGCAGGAGCUCCCUGGCCACCACCCCGUGGUCCCCUG
This 481-nucleotide long non-coding RNA is filed under the name Pan troglodytes (chimpanzee). RNAcentral's name for it is "long non-coding RNA NONPTRT009673". Lineage: Eukaryota; Metazoa; Chordata; Mammalia; Primates; Hominidae. The record is from RNAcentral.